UAGAAGCUUAUCAAUUAUGAUAAAAUUAUUAACAAUAAUAAAUUUCUAUCACUGAUAGAUUUAUUACAAGUGAUAAAAGUAUAUUAUUGAUGAACACCUAUUAUUAGUGAUAGACUCAUAUAUGUUACGACAUUCUAGAAUUUGACCACGGAUUAAUUGAAGAAUUCAAUAAUAUCCAAAGAGCUCAAAAUUUUCAAUUAUGCAAGUCAUUCAACUAUUGUUUUAUUUCUCCCAUCUAUGUAUCUUGAUAAUGAAAUAGAUAAUUGAGAGUCCGGAUAAAGUUGAAGAUAGAGAUGCUGGAAUAAUUCUUGUGAUGUUGUUUGUGUUUCAGUUCUGGGAUGUGGUUCUUAUAAUAAUCAGCUAUUCUUUAAGCUUUUGAUUCCAUUAUUGUUUUCAGGUUUAUUGUAGCAACCAUCUUUGUAAUGUGGUCUUGGCAGCUGCUGAAUUAUACGAUUUCAGGAGCAACCUUCUUUAGGUUUGGAAGAAUCUAUUGAAGCAAUGAAUCUAACUUGGAGCAAUUGAUGGAUAGAACACUUUUUGGUUUGUUUAGAGAUGAAGAUGGAAGAUUGGUAUGUAGAUUGUAUUCUAUAUUUUGGUUGUUUAUGCUUGUACAGAAAAUCAUGUUAUAUGCAUUAUGAUGAUAUUUACACUAGUUUUGAUUAAAGACUGUAAUUUCAUACUUGUAAAUUAUUCAAAACUUGAUUGAAAAUGUACGAAUAUUACAAAGUGUA
Molecule: long non-coding RNA, 731 nt
Organism: Cucumis sativus (cucumber)
Lineage: Eukaryota; Viridiplantae; Streptophyta; Magnoliopsida; Cucurbitales; Cucurbitaceae
Exons: 2
Source: RefSeq, a predicted model, not a curated record